This 253-nucleotide ribosomal RNA is filed under the name uncultured bacterium. Its description in RNAcentral is "partial 16S ribosomal RNA". It matches the Rfam family "Bacterial small subunit ribosomal RNA", at positions 524 to 776 of the family's 1533-position model. The record is from RNAcentral.
UACGUAGGUGACAAGCGUUGUCCGGAUUUACUGGGCGUAAAGGGCUCGUAGGCGGCCAACUAAGUCGGAUGUGAAAUCCCCAGGCUUAACCUGGGAACUGCAUCCGAUACUGGAUGGCUUGAAUCCGGGAGAGGGAUGCAGAAUUCCAGGUGUAGCGGUGAAAUGCGUAGAUAUCUGGAGGAAUACCGGUGGCGAAGGCGGCAUCCUGGACCGGCAUUGACGCUGAUGAGCGAAAGCUAGGGGAGCAAACGGG